RNAcentral lists this ribosomal RNA (661 nucleotides) under Escherichia coli. Its description in RNAcentral is "partial 23S ribosomal RNA". It matches the Rfam family "Bacterial large subunit ribosomal RNA", at positions 2138 to 2798 of the family's 2925-position model. The record is from RNAcentral. Lineage: Bacteria; Pseudomonadati; Pseudomonadota; Gammaproteobacteria; Enterobacterales; Enterobacteriaceae.
GUAGGAUAGGUGGGAGGCUUAGAAGUGUGGACGCCAGUCUGCAUGGAGCCGACCUUGAAAUACCACCCUUUAAUGUUUGAUGUUCUAACGUUGACCCGUAAUCCGGGUUGCGGACAGUGUCUGGUGGGUAGUUUGACUGGGGCGGUCUCCUCCUAAAGAGUAACGGAGGAGCACGAAGGUUGGCUAAUCCUGGUCGGACAUCAGGAGGUUAGUGCAAUGGCAUAAGCCAGCUUGACUGCGAGCGUGACGGCGCGAGCAGGUGCGAAAGCAGGUCAUAGUGAUCCGGUGGUUCUGAAUGGAAGGGCCAUCGCUCAACGGAUAAAAGGUACUCCGGGGAUAACAGGCUGAUACCGCCCAAGAGUUCAUAUCGACGGCGGUGUUUGGCACCUCGAUGUCGGCUCAUCACAUCCUGGGGCUGAAGUAGGUCCCAAGGGUAUGGCUGUUCGCCAUUUAAAGUGGUACGCGAGCUGGGUUUAGAACGUCGUGAGACAGUUCGGUCCCUAUCUGCCGUGGGCGCUGGAGAACUGAGGGGGGCUGCUCCUAGUACGAGAGGACCGGAGUGGACGCAUCACUGGUGUUCGGGUUGUCAUGCCAAUGGCACUGCCCGGUAGCUAAAUGCGGAAGAGAUAAGUGCUGAAAGCAUCUAAGCACGAAACUUGCC